AAAAAGUCUGAAUCUGAAUACCUUCAUGAAUUUAAAGGGAUAGUUCAGUGUGAUGACGGGUCAGCUGAGAACAGAUGAAUGAUAUCAAGGCCACUGGAAUUAGUUUUCUCUGUGAACGCAUGUCCCAACAGCGGAGACACUGAGUAACGGGACAUUGCUCAGUAAAACACACCCAUGACAGCACUUGAUGUAAAUAAGUCUGAAGGACAAUUGUGCAUUACCUGUCGGCUUAAGUUAAAGAAAAAAAAAAUUCAAACUAUAACUUUAAACCCAAUCUUUAUACAUGCUGACCACCACUGUAUUCUGCCAUCUAGCUUACCAGAAACUAUUUUGUUGCGCACUAAGGUCUGUCACCUACCUUCUCACAUUUAGCAACCUGCAAUGUUAGCUUCCAUCUGUACAAUGUGAUUACAUUUAGAGGGAAUAAAUGACAGAAAAAAUACGUAUCACUCAUAUAAUGGCCUUUGUUUUCUGAUAUUCAGUGAAAGUAGCAGGUGUCAACAAAUUAGACAUUAAAAUUACAAAAUGGAGCAAAAGUUAACUUGUCAUGGACCUGCUUGAUACUAAAUAGCAG
Long non-coding RNA from Sinocyclocheilus anshuiensis, 574 nucleotides. RefSeq lists it as uncharacterized. The record is from RefSeq and is a predicted model, not a curated record. The transcript is spliced from 2 exons. Lineage: Eukaryota; Metazoa; Chordata; Actinopteri; Cypriniformes; Cyprinidae.